GAGAGAAAUCUAGAGAGAGAAAGAGGGUUUCAUUUGGUGUUGGAGAGGGGAGAAAUGAGGGCUAAACCUCAUUACACUCACCCCUAUACACUCACAACACAUUUGCACAUAACCCCCCACACCCCUCCAUGUUUAACACAAUGAUCCAGCUCAUACUGGGCAUUUUCGGGUCUCUGGGAUCGGUUCUAGGAUUGAGAGACCGGUCCCCGAAGGUCCAAAAAUUCUGCACCUUCCAGACUUAGCCAAAAUUUCAGCAUUUUCAGCCUUCGGGUCCGUUUUCGCUCGUUUUCGCUCGUUCGACCUCCGUUUCCUUUCAAAUCGAACCGAGACUCACAAGACAUGUUUUCGAACAUGUUUUCA
This 360-nucleotide long non-coding RNA is filed under the name Ananas comosus (pineapple). Its description in RNAcentral is "long non-coding RNA (ACOM_LNC039249)". The record is from RNAcentral. Lineage: Eukaryota; Viridiplantae; Streptophyta; Magnoliopsida; Poales; Bromeliaceae.